UGAUGCGCCAUGCCGCGUGUGUGAAGAAGGCCUUCGGGUUGUAAAGUACUUUCAGUUGUGAGGAAGGGGGUGUCGUUAAUAGCGGCAUCUCUUGACGUUAGCCACAGAAGAAGCACCGGCUAACUCCGUGCCAGCAGCCGCGGUAAUACGGAGGGUGCGAGCGUUAAUCGGAAUUACUGGGCGUAAAGCGCAUGCAGGUGGUUCGUUAAGUCAGAUGUGAAAGCCCGGGGCUCAACCUCGGAACUGCAUUUGAAACUGGUGAACUAGAGUACUGUAGAGGGGGGUAGAAUUUCAGGUGUAGCGGUGAAAUGCGUAGAGAUCUGAAGGAAUACCAGUGGCGAAGGCGGCCCCCUGGACAGAUACUGACACUCAGAUGCGAAAGCGUGGGGAGCAAACAGGAUUAGAUACCCUGGUAGUCCACGCCGUAAACGAUGUCUACUUGGAGGUUGUGGUCUUGAGCCGUGGCUUUCGGAGCUAACGCGUUAAGUAGACCGCCUGGGGAGUACGGUCGCAAGAUUAAAACUCAAAUGAAUUGACGGGGGCCCGCACAAGCGGUGGAGCAUGUGGUUUAAUUCGAUGCAACGCGAAGAACCUUACCUACUCUUGACAUCCAGAGAAGCCAGCGGAGACGCAGGUGUGCCUUCGGGAGCUCUGAGACAGGUGCUGCAUGGCUGUCGUCAGCUCGUGUUGUGAAAUGUUGGGUUAAGUCCCGCAACGAGCGCAACCCUUAUCCUUGUUUGCCAGCGAGUAAUGUCGGGAACUCCAGGGAGACUGCCGGUGAUAAACCGGAGGAAGGUGGGGACGACGUCAAGUCAUCAUGGCCCUUACGAGUAGGGCUACACACGUGCUACAAUGGCGCAUACAGAGGGCAGCGAACUUGCGAGAGUGAGCGAAUCCCAAAAAGUGCGUCGUAGUCCGGAUUGGAGUCUGCAACUCGACUCCAUGAAGUCGGAAUCGCUAGUAAUCGUAGAUCAGAAUGCUACGGUGAAUACGUUCCCGGGCCUUGUACACACCGCCCGUCACACCAUGGGAGUGGGCUGCAAAAGAAGUGGGUAGUUUAACCUUUCGGGGGGCACUCUCCCC
RNAcentral lists this ribosomal RNA (1083 nucleotides) under Vibrio sp. 7818M. RNAcentral describes it as "bacterial SSU rRNA". It matches the Rfam family "Bacterial small subunit ribosomal RNA", at positions 384 to 1460 of the family's 1533-position model. Lineage: Bacteria; Pseudomonadati; Pseudomonadota; Gammaproteobacteria; Vibrionales; Vibrionaceae. The record is from RNAcentral.